AAAAUAAUCCUACCCUUUGUGAAUUUUGUUUGUUUGAAUAAUUUUUUUUUUUAAAAAAUUAUUGGAGUCUUUCCCUUUAGAGUUUGCUUUUGAGUUUGUAAAAGAAUUCGAAAACAUCUAAAGGGGAUGGUCAAUAAUUUUUUUUGAAAAAAGACAUUUUUUAAAAUUAAACUUUUUGUAUUCAUUUGUCUAAAAAUUAUUUUUAUAAUAUAAAAACAACUUUUGACGAUGGAUCUCUUGGUUCUCGCAACGAUGAAGAACGCAGCAAAAUGCGAUAAGUAGUGUGAAUUGCAGAAUACGUGAAUCAUCGAAUCUUUGAACGCAUAUUGCACUUUUUUAGUUUACUAAAAAAGUAUGUCUGUUUGAGUAUCAGUAAAAUAUUCCAUAAAAACCAUUGUAUUUUUAUGGUUAUGAGUGUUUUACAACGAUACAAGUUGUUUCACUUUAAAUUUUUUUUAAUAUUGAAAUUUUUCUAAUUUUAAUAAUUAAAAUUGGAUAAAAUUUUCCCGUCAAAAGGAAUAACCUAAACAAUUUUAAACGAUUAAUUUUAGCAAAAUUUUCGUAAAAAAGGAAAAUUUUUAUUAAAAUAACUUGAUCUCAAAUCAGAUAAGAGUACCCGCUGAACUUAAGCGUAUCAAUAAGCGGAGGAAAAGAAACUAACAAGGAUUCCCUUAGUAACGGCGAGUGAAGCGGGAAGAGCUCAAAUUUGAAAUCUUCAAGGUUUUACCUUGACGAAUUGUAGUUUAAAGAAGUGUUUUCUGCUGAAGUUUUGGUAAAAGUUCUUUGGAAUAGGACAUCAUAGAGGGUGAGAAUCCCGUAUUUGACCAUUAUUUUCAGCUUUGUGAUACACUUUCAAAGAGUCGGAUUGUUUGGGAAUGCAGUCCAAAAUGGGUGGUAAAUUUCAUCUAAAGCUAAAUAUUGGCGAGAGACCGAUAGCGAACAAGUACCGUGAGGGAAAGAUGAAAAGAACUUUGAAAAGAGAGUUAAACAGUACGUGAAAUUGUCAUAAGGGAAGCGUUUGACACCAGUGUUGUUUUCUCGAAAAUCAGUUAAAAAUGGCUCGAUUUUGUAUUGCUGAGACCUUAAAAGCUCACUGUACAUUUUUCGUGUCUUUUUUAAUGCGCUUUUCGUUUAACAAGUCAACAUCAGUUUCUUUUGUUGUAAAAGGGUCAUUGGAAGGUGGCUUUCUUUUCGGAGAAAGUGUUUAUAGCCUUUGGCCUCUGCAAUCGGAGAGACUGAGGUCUGCAGCGUAGACUCUUCGGGGUUAGAUACAUUUGUGCUAAGUUAUAGCUUUUUAUAGACAACUUGUUGACUAUAAUUAGUCUUGUAGCUUACUCGCUUAUGCUAUUU
This 1350-nucleotide unclassified non-coding RNA is filed under the name uncultured Neocallimastigales. Its description in RNAcentral is "partial contains internal transcribed spacer 1, 5.8S ribosomal RNA, internal transcribed spacer 2, and large subunit ribosomal RNA". The stretch from base 593 to 1350 matches the Rfam family "Eukaryotic large subunit ribosomal RNA", at positions 1 to 617 of the family's 3401-position model. Lineage: Eukaryota; Fungi; Neocallimastigomycota; Neocallimastigomycetes; Neocallimastigales. The record is from RNAcentral.